AACGAACGCUGGCGGCAUGCCUAACACAUGCAAGUCGAACGAAGGCUUCGGCCUUAGUGGCGCACGGGCGCGUAACGCGUGGGAAUCUGCCCUUUGGUUCGGAAUAACAGCUGGAAACGGCUGCUAAUACCGGAUGAUGACGAAAGUCCAAAGAUUUAUCGCCAGAGGAUGAGCCCGCGUUGGAUUAGGUAGUUGGUGGGGUAAAGGCCUACCAAGCCGACGAUCCAUAGCUGGUCUGAGAGGAUGAUCAGCCACACUGGGACUGAGACACGGCCCAGACUCCUACGGGAGGCAGCAGUGGGGAAUAUUGGACAAUGGGCGCAAGCCUGAUCCAGCAAUGCCGCGUGAGUGAUGAAGGCCCUAGGGUUGUAAAGCUCCUUUACCCGGGAAGAUAAUGACUGUACCGGGAGAAUAAGCCCCGGCUAACUCCGUG
RNAcentral lists this ribosomal RNA (433 nucleotides) under uncultured bacterium. RNAcentral describes it as "partial 16S ribosomal RNA". It matches the Rfam family "Bacterial small subunit ribosomal RNA", at positions 29 to 507 of the family's 1533-position model. The record is from RNAcentral.